GCCAGCGUGGCAUAGUGGUUUGAGCAUUGGGCUGUGACUCUGAAGACCAGGGUUCAAUUCCCAUAUCGGCCA
This 72-nucleotide transfer RNA is filed under the name Phrynosoma platyrhinos (Desert horned lizard). Its description in RNAcentral is "tRNA-OTHER". Lineage: Eukaryota; Metazoa; Chordata; Lepidosauria; Squamata; Phrynosomatidae. The record is from RNAcentral.